GACGAACGCUGGCGGCGUGCUUAACACAUGCAAGUCGAGCGGAAAGGCCCUUCGGGGUACUCGAGCGGCGAACGGGUGAGUAACACGUGAGUAACCUGCCCCAGACUUUGGGAUAACCCUCGGAGACGGGGGCUAAUACCGGAUACGACACAGCUUCGCAUGGGGUCUGUGUGGAAAGUUUUUCGGUUUGGGAUGGGCUCGCGGCCUAUCAGCUUGUUGGUGGGGUGAUGGCCUACCAAGGCGACGACGGGUAGCCGGCCUGAGAGGGCGACCGGCCACACUGGGACUGAGACACGGCCCAGACUCCUACGGGAGGCAGCAGUGGGGAAUAUUGCACAAUGGGCGGAAGCCUGAUGCAGCGACGCCGCGUGAGGGAUGACGGCCUUCGGGUUGUAAACCUCUUUCAGCAGGGACGAAGCGUAAGUGACGGUACCUGCAGAAGAAGCGCCGGCCAACUACGUG
This 462-nucleotide ribosomal RNA is filed under the name uncultured bacterium. Its description in RNAcentral is "partial 16S ribosomal RNA". It matches the Rfam family "Bacterial small subunit ribosomal RNA", at positions 28 to 507 of the family's 1533-position model. The record is from RNAcentral.